RNAcentral lists this long non-coding RNA (278 nucleotides) under Coturnix japonica (Japanese quail). Its description in RNAcentral is "lncRNA (ENSCJPG00005003324.1)". Lineage: Eukaryota; Metazoa; Chordata; Aves; Galliformes; Phasianidae. The record is from RNAcentral.
CAUAAACAGUUUGUCGAACUCACUUCUUAUUUCUUCUGAUUUUUUUUUUUUUUUUUUGUUAUUUUUAAAAGAAAACUGAUAUCUUCAUCCUGAAAUAGAACUUAGCUUUCAUAGAUUUUUGAGGACAAAGGAGCUGGGGUAAGGGAUGAAUGAGUGAAAAAUGGAGUCAUUCUUUUGUACUGGAAAGAUGUAUUUUCAAAAGCACUCAACUAAGCAUGGGAGGCCCCCGUCCUGCUUCUCACUGUAAUGACCCAGAGACCUUUCAGAAUCAACAGUAG